GUUGCUUUGGCCGAGUGGUUAAGGCGUGUGCCUGCUAAGUACAUGUGGUUUCCCCACGAGAGUUCAAAUCUCUCAGGCGACA
This is a non-coding RNA of Picea glauca (white spruce), 82 nucleotides long. NCBI's taxonomy places the organism in Eukaryota, Viridiplantae, Streptophyta, Pinopsida, Pinales, Pinaceae. The record is from Rfam.